This 466-nucleotide ribosomal RNA is filed under the name uncultured bacterium. RNAcentral describes it as "partial 16S ribosomal RNA". It matches the Rfam family "Bacterial small subunit ribosomal RNA", at positions 28 to 507 of the family's 1533-position model. The record is from RNAcentral.
GACGAACGCUGGCGGCGUGCUUAACACAUGCAAGUCGAACGGAAAGGCCCUGCUUGCAGGGUACUCGAGUGGCGAACGGGUGAGUAACACGUGGGUGCUCUGCCCUGCACUUCGGGAUAAGCUUGGGAAACUGGGUCUAAUACCGGAUAGGAGCCAUCUUCAGUGUGGUGGUUGGAAAGUUUUUUCGGUGUAGGAUGAGCUCGCGGCCUAUCAGCUUGUUGGUGGGGUAAUGGCCUACCAAGGCGGCGACGGGUAGCCGGCCUGAGAGGGUGUACGGCCACUGUGGGACUGAGAGACGGCCCAGACUCCGACGGGAGGCAGCAGUGGGGAAUAUUGCACAAUGGGCGCAAGCCUGAGGCAGCGACGCCGCGUGGGGGAUGAAGGCCUUCGGGUUGUAAACUCCUUUCGCUAGGGACGAAGCUUUGUUGUGACGGUACCUAGAUAAGAAGCACCGGCUAACUACGUG